This 293-nucleotide ribosomal RNA is filed under the name uncultured bacterium. Its description in RNAcentral is "partial 16S ribosomal RNA". It matches the Rfam family "Archaeal small subunit ribosomal RNA", at positions 455 to 747 of the family's 1478-position model. The record is from RNAcentral.
GUGCCAGCAGCCGCGGUAAUACCGGCAGCCCGAGUGAUGACCGAUCUUAUUGGGCCUAAAGCGUCCGUAGCUUGCUGUGUAAGUCCAUUGGGAAAUCCACGCGCUCAACGCGUGGGCGUCCGGUGGAAACUGCACGGCUUGGGGCCGAGAGACUCGACGGGUACGUCCGGGGUAGGAGUGAAAUCCUAUAAUCCUGGACGGACCACCAAUGGGGAAACCACGUCGAGAAAACGGAUCCGACAGUGAGGGACGAAAGCCAGGGUCUCCAACCGGAUUAGAAACCCCGGUAGUCU